GACGAACGCUGGCGGCGUGCUUAACACAUGCAAGUCGAACGGACUUAAGGGGCUUGCUUCUUAAGUUAGUGGCGCACGGGUGAGUAAUAUAUAGCUAACCUGCCCUUUAGUGGGGGACAACAGUUGGAAACGGCUGCUAAUACCCCAUACUCCUUCUUAUCAUAAGGUAAGUUGGGAAAGAUUUAUCGCUAAAGGAUGGGGCUUUAUUGUAUCAGCUAGUUGGUGGGGUAACGGCCUACCAAGGCUAUGACGCAUACCUGGUCUGAGAGGAUGAUCAGGCACACUGGAACUGAGACACGGUCCAGACUCCUACGGGAGGCAGCAGUGGGGAAUAUUGCACAAUGGAGGAAACUCUGAUGCAGCAACGCCGCGUGGAGGAUGACGCAUUUCGGUGUGUAAACUCCUUUUAUAGGGGAAGAUAAUGACGGUACCCUAUGAAUAAGCACCGGCUAACUCCGUGCCAGCAGCCGCCGUAA
Molecule: ribosomal RNA, 476 nt
Filed under: uncultured bacterium
Lineage: Bacteria
Description: partial 16S ribosomal RNA
Rfam family: Bacterial small subunit ribosomal RNA
Source: RNAcentral